GGGAAAGUGGCUCAGUGGUAGAGUGUUUGCCUGGUAUGCAUGAGACCCUGAGUUUGAUUCCUCAGCACCA
Molecule: non-coding RNA, 70 nt
Organism: Dipodomys ordii (Ord's kangaroo rat)
Lineage: Eukaryota; Metazoa; Chordata; Mammalia; Rodentia; Heteromyidae
Source: Rfam